Molecule: long non-coding RNA, 1242 nt
Filed under: Homo sapiens (human)
Lineage: Eukaryota; Metazoa; Chordata; Mammalia; Primates; Hominidae
Description: long non-coding RNA NONHSAT173316.1
Source: RNAcentral
UUUUAGCCCAAUUGCCUCCUACAUGGGGAAGGUUGGGGUCCUCUUUAUUCUACUUUUCAUUCUCGCUCUGCCGCCCUCCCAGGUGUUUGUAAUCACAUAUUUUUCAUUUGGUUUCCGGGUCCAGCGACAAGAACACCAGAAACACCUCCUCCCCAGAGAGGAAGAGAGGAUGCUCCGCCGCCUCAACAGGGAGCUGCCACCACCGUGUACUGUGCUGCUGUCCCAGAACUGGAGGGUCUGGGAGGGAUGUACUUCAACAACUGCUGCCGCUGCAUGCCCUCACCAGAAGCUCAGAGCGAAGAGACGGCCCGGACCCUGUGGGCGCUCAGCGAGAGGCUGAUCCAAGAACGGCUUGGCAGCCAGUCCGGCUAAGUGGAGCUCAGAGCGGAUGGGCACACACACCCGCCCUGUGUGUGUCCCCUCACGCAAGUGCCAGGGCUGGGCCCCUUCCAAAUGUCCCUCCAACACAGAUCCGCAAGAGUAAAGGAAAUAAGAGCAGUCACAACAGAGUGAAAAAUCUUAAGUACCAAUGGGAAGCAGGGAAUUCCUGGGGUAAAGUAUCACUUUUCUGGGGCUGGGCUAGGCAUAGGUCUCUUUGCUUUCUGGUGGUGGCCUGUUUGAAAGUAAAAACCUGCUUGGUGUGUAGGUUCCGUAUCUCCCUGGAGAAGCACCAGCAAUUCUCUUUCUUUUACUGUUAUAGAAUAGCCUGAGGUCCCCUCGUCCCAUCCAGCUACCACCACGGCCACCACUGCAGCCGGGGGCUGGCCUUCUCCUACUUAGGGAAGAAAAAGCAAGUGUUCACUGCUCCUUGCUGCAUUGAUCCAGGAGAUAAUUGUUUCAUUCAUCCUGACCAAGACUGAGCCAGCUUAGCAACUGCUGGGGAGACAAAUCUCAGAACCUUGUCCCAGCCAGUGAGGAUGACAGUGACACCCAGAGGGAGUAGAAUACGCAGAACUACCAGGUGGCAAAGUACUUGUCAUAGACUCCUUUGCUAAUGCUAUGCAAAAAAUUCUUUAGAGAUUAUAACAAAUUUUUCAAAUCAUUCCUUAGAUACCUUGAAAGGCAGGAAGGGAAGCGUAUAUACUUAAGAAUACACAGGAUAUUUUGGGGGGCAGAGAAUAAAACGUUAGUUAAUCCCUUUGUCUGUCAAUCACAGUCUCAGUUCUCUUGCUUUCACAUUGUACUUAAACCUCCUGCUGUGCCUCGCAUCCUAUGCUUAAUAAAAGAACAUGCUUGAAUAUC